UGGGGAAUUUUGGACAAUGGGCGAAAGCCUGAUCCAGCAAUGCCGCGUGUGUGAAGAAGGCCUUCGGGUUGUAAAGCACUUUUGUCCGGAAAGAAAUCCUUGGCUCUAAUACAGUCGGGGGAUGACGGUACCGGAAGAAUAAGCACCGGCUAACUACGUGCCAGCAGCCGCGGUAAUACGUAGGGUGCAAGCGUUAAUCGGAAUUACUGGGCGUAAAGCGUGCGCAGGCGGUUUGCUAAGACCGAUGUGAAAUCCCCGGGCUCAACCUGGGAACUGCAUUGGUGACUGGCAGGCUAGAGUAUGGCAGAGGGGGGUAGAAUUCCACGUGUAGCAGUGAAAUGCGUAGAGAUGUGGAGGAAUACCGAUGGCGAAGGCAGCCCCCUGGGCCAAUACUGACGCUCAUGCACGAAAGCGUGGGGAGCAAACAGGAUUAGAUACCCUGGUAGUCCACGCCCUAAAACGAUGUCAACUAGUUGUUGGGGAUUCAUUCCUUAGUAACGUAGCUAACGCGUGAAGUUGACCGCCUGGGGAGUACGGUCGCAAAGAUUAAAACUCAAAUGAAUUGACGGGGUCAUAGCUGUUUCCU
This 586-nucleotide ribosomal RNA is filed under the name uncultured bacterium. Its description in RNAcentral is "partial 16S ribosomal RNA". It matches the Rfam family "Bacterial small subunit ribosomal RNA", at positions 355 to 1375 of the family's 1533-position model. The record is from RNAcentral.